GACGAACGCUGGCGGCGUGCUUAACACAUGCAAGUCGAACGGAAAGGCCCUGCUUGCAGGGUACUCGAGUGGCGAACGGGUGAGUAACACGUGGGUGAUCUGCCCUGCACUUCGGGAUAAGCCUGGGAAACUGGGUCUAAUACCGGCUAGGAGCCAUUUUUAGUGUGAUGGUUGGAAAGUUUUUUCGGUGUAGGAUGAGCUCGCGGCCUAUCAGCUUGUUGGUGGGGUAAUGGCCUACCAAGGCGGCGACGGGUAGCCGGCCUGAGAGGGUGGACGGCCACAUUGGGACUGAGAGACGGCCCAGACUGCUACGGGAGGCAGCAGUGGGGAAUAUUGCACAAUGGGCGCAAGCCUGAUGCAGCGACGCCGCGGGGGGGAUGACGGCCUUCGGGUUGAAAACUCCUUUCGCUAGGGACGAAGCUUUUUGUGACGGUACCUAGAUAAGAAGCACCGGCUAACUACGUG
RNAcentral lists this ribosomal RNA (465 nucleotides) under uncultured bacterium. Its description in RNAcentral is "partial 16S ribosomal RNA". It matches the Rfam family "Bacterial small subunit ribosomal RNA", at positions 28 to 507 of the family's 1533-position model. The record is from RNAcentral.